Hydra vulgaris (swiftwater hydra) is the source of this 340-nucleotide non-coding RNA. Lineage: Eukaryota; Metazoa; Cnidaria; Hydrozoa; Anthoathecata; Hydridae. The record is from RefSeq and is a predicted model, not a curated record.
AGACGAGCUUCGGCAAAAACAACAACAUUUGUUUUUCACGAUCUUGGUUGUGUUGAAACUGUUUGGCGCACCAUUGAAGAUGUGCAUCCAGGAAAAAUAGAUGGGGGAUCAACAGGAACCUAAAAAAGAUAUUAUUAAAAUUAGUCAUUGUAAAACUUAUCAAUAAAAACAACUUUAAGGGUGCUUACCUCAAACUUUGAUCAAGGAGGCUUGUGCAUUUUGCAGCCUGGUGGCCAGUGUUUUUCACACACACCCAUAUUUGAAGUUACUUUUUCAAACGCAUUUGGAAUAAAUGACAACCAAUAUUGUAACUUUUGUGUGUCACUUGGAAACAUGUAAA